This 77-nucleotide transfer RNA is filed under the name Gracilimonas sp. Its description in RNAcentral is "tRNA-Glu". It matches the Rfam family "tRNA". Rfam says of the family: Transfer RNA (tRNA) molecules are approximately 80 nucleotides in length. The record is from RNAcentral. Lineage: Bacteria; Pseudomonadati; Balneolota; Balneolia; Balneolales; Balneolaceae.
GUCCCCAUCGUCUAGGCGGCCAAGGACGCUGGCUUCUCAGGUCAGAAACACUGGUUCGAAUCCGGUUGGGGACACCA